GGGUUGUUGCUGGCCCCAAAAGGGGCACGUGCACGCUCUGUUUACACAUCCACUCACACCUGUGCACCCUCUGUAGUUCUGUGGAUCGGGAGACGUCGUCUUCCUUCUGCGGCUCUACUUCUUUACACACACACUGUAGCGAAGUCUCAUGGAAUGUUUUUUCGCGUUUAACGCAAUACAAUACAACUUUCAGCAACGGAUCUCUUGGCUCUCGCAUCGAUGAAGAACGCAGCGAAAUGCGAUAAGUAAUGUGAAUUGCAGAAUUCAGUGAAUCAUCGAAUCUUUGAACGCACCUUGCGCCCCUUGGUUAUUCCUCGGGGCAUGCCUGUUUGAGUAUCAUGAACAUCUCAACUCUCAUGGUCUUCCGUGAUGAGCUUGGACUUUGGGGGUUUGCUGGCCCUGUGGCCGGCUCCUCUCAAAUGGAUCAGCUUGCCAGUGUUUGGCGGCGUCACGGGUGUGAUAACUAUCUACGCCCGCGGCCGUCUGUCAGGUAACCCUCAGCGAUGAAGGUUCAUUGGGGCUCACAAAUGUCUCUCCCCGGCGAGGACAACUUUUGAACGUUCGAUCUCAAAUCAGGUAGGACUACCCGCUGAACUUAAGCAUAUCAAUAAAGCGGAGGAAAAAGAAAACUAACAAGGAUUCCCCUARUAACUGCRAGUGAAGCGGGAARAGCUCAAAUUUAAAAAUCUGGGCGUGCCUUUGGUCGUCCRAAUUGUAGUCUGGRARAARCGUUUUUCGGC
RNAcentral lists this ribosomal RNA (740 nucleotides) under uncultured fungus. RNAcentral's name for it is "eukaryotic LSU rRNA". The stretch from base 185 to 339 matches the Rfam family "5.8S ribosomal RNA". The record is from RNAcentral. Lineage: Eukaryota; Fungi.